RNAcentral lists this ribosomal RNA (595 nucleotides) under Metarhizium sp. Its description in RNAcentral is "partial large subunit ribosomal RNA". It matches the Rfam family "Eukaryotic large subunit ribosomal RNA", at positions 366 to 980 of the family's 3401-position model. Lineage: Eukaryota; Fungi; Ascomycota; Sordariomycetes; Hypocreales; Clavicipitaceae. The record is from RNAcentral.
AAAAAAAACUUUGAAAAGAGAGUUAAAUAGUACGUGAAAUUGUUGAAAGGGAAGCACUUAUGACCAGACUUGGCCCCGGUGAAUCAUCCAGCGGUUCCCGCUGGUGCACUUUGCCGGGGUUCAGGCCAGCAUCAGUUCGCUCCGGGGGAUAAAGGCUUUGGGAAUGUGGCUCCCUCGGGAGUGUUAUAGCCCAUUGCGUAAUACCCUGUGGCGGGCUGAGGUUCGCGCUUUAUGCAAGGAUGCUGGCAUAAUGGUCAUCAGUGACCCGUCUUGAAACACGGACCAAGGAGUCGUCUUCGUAUGCGAGUGUUCGGGUGUUAAACCCCUACGCGUAAUGAAAGUGAACGCAGGUGAGAGCCCUCCAGGGCGCAUCAUCGACCGAUCCUGAUGUUCUCGGAUGGAUUUGAGUAAGAGCAUACGGGGCCGGACCCGAAAGAAGGUGAACUAUGCCUGUAUAGGGUGAAGCCAGAGGAAACUCUGGUGGAGGCUCGCAGCGGUUCUGACGUGCAAAUCGAUCGUCAAAUAUGGGCAUGGGGGCGAAAGACUAAUCGAACCUUCUAGUAGCUGGUUUCCGCCGAAGUUUCCCCUCAGGAUA